AGAGUUUGAUGGUGGCUCAGAACGAACGCUGGCGGCAGGCCUAACACAUGCAAGUCGAACGCACUCUUCGGAGUGAGUGGCAGACGGGUGAGUAACGCGUGGGAAUCUACCUAGUGGUGGGGGAUAACUUCGGGAAACCGGAGCUAAUACCCCAUAAGCCCUUCGGGGGAAAGUUUUUCGCCAUUAGAUGAGCCCGCGUUAGAUUAGCUAGUUGGUAGGGUAAUGGCCUACCAAGGCGACGAUCUAUAGCUGGUCUGAGAGGAUGAUCAGCCACACUGGGACUGAGACACGGCCCAGACUCCUACGGGAGGCAGCAGUGGGGAAUAUCGCACAAUGGGCGCAAGCCUGAUGCAGCCAUGCCGCGUGUGUGAUGAAGGCCUUAGGGUUGUAAAACACUUUCAUCGGUGAAGAUAAUGACGGUAGCCGAAGAAGAAGCCCCGGCUAACUCCGUGCCAGCAGCCGCGGUAAUACGGAGGGGGCAAGCGUUGUUCGGAAUUACUGGGCGUAAAGCGCACGUAGGCGGACUGGUCAGCUGGGGGUGAAAUCCCGAGGCUUAACCUCGGAACUGCCUUCAAUACUGCCAGUCUUGAGAUCGGAAGAGGUGAGUGGAAUUCCUAGUGUAGAGGUGAAAUUCGUAGAUAUUAGGAAGAACACCAGUGGCGAAGGCGGCUCACUGGUCCGAUACUGACGCUGAGGUGCAAAAGCGUGGGGGAGCGAACAGGAUUAGAUACCCUG
RNAcentral lists this ribosomal RNA (735 nucleotides) under uncultured Alphaproteobacteria bacterium. RNAcentral describes it as "bacterial SSU rRNA". It matches the Rfam family "Bacterial small subunit ribosomal RNA", at positions 8 to 789 of the family's 1533-position model. The record is from RNAcentral. Lineage: Bacteria; Pseudomonadati; Pseudomonadota; Alphaproteobacteria.